GGGGGUUCGGUUCCCGAAUGGGGAGCCA
RNAcentral lists this unclassified non-coding RNA (28 nucleotides) under Dictyostelium discoideum. Lineage: Eukaryota; Evosea; Eumycetozoa; Dictyosteliales; Dictyosteliaceae. The record is from RNAcentral.